AAUGGGAGUAGGCUAAGGCAAUCGGCUGUGGCGGAUAAGCCACAGGUUCAAAUUGAAGGGAAUGAUCCAAGGAAGCUCUAUACACUUGUGAUGGUGGAUCCUGAUGCACCAAGUCCAAACAAUCCAACUGAUAGAGAGUAUCUGCACUGGUAAGCUAAAAAUUAUUUAUCCAAAAAUAAUAUCAUAUAUAUAUAUAUAUAUAUAUAUAUAUAUAUAUAUGAUUUUUGUUUGAUUUAUUCUUUUCAAGAAAAAUGUACUGAUAAAUGAUGUUUAUAUAUUGAAACAGAGAAAUAUAAUCCCCACAAAAUAUUUUUACCAAGACUACCUUCUUUAUUUCAUCUCUCUGGUUUAAGAAGCUAGCGGACAUGAAAUCUAGUUUUAUAUUAAAUUACUAAAAUCUUAUGCACCAUAUAUUGACACUCUUUAACCCAUUCUUAUUAUCUUAGGCAUGUCUAUCAAUCCACCAAAACAAAGUUCUUCUCAAUCAAGUAACUCAUUGGUCUCUUGGUAAUACUUUUUAGGUUGGUGACAGACAUCCCAGAAACUCUUGAUGCAAGUCAUGGUGGGUAAAACUUACUCUACUAAUCUCUUCCUAAAUGCAUAGUACUAUGACAUUCUCAAAUGACAUAAAUUUGGUUUUUGAUGUGUUUUUUAUAUGUAUAGUCCUCCACUCUUAUUUUCUAAUCACCCCAAAAUAAUGAUAAGGACAGUAACAUAUAAACUAUACAAAAUUCUGUAAGUAAAUUGGAACCAAACACUAUUUGAGUCAUUAAGUUACUUUGGCAAUAAGACCAAACUGGCAUAAUUGCUAACAUCUAGAAUUUGUCAUGUCAUUGUUGAUUCUGCACAGGUUUCUUCAGACUAAAGGGAAAAAUAAAAGAAACAUAAUACAUGAAUUGACCAUACCAGAAUUCUCUUAGCUAAUAUCAACUAUUUCUUUUCUAAUCCUAAUUAAUUAUUGGAGAAAUAUAACUCAUCGAUUUUACCUAGAAUGUGGAGUUCUACCACAAUUUCUUAUGACAACAUGUAUGCUUCAGUUAUUCAGAAAUUUGAACUAUCUAGAAAGUGGUUUCUAUGUUCCAUUUGCUUUUAUGUUCGAGCAAAUUAAAUAAUAUGCUUAUGUGAAUCCAAGAAAAAAAAACAUUUGGCCUACACAAAUAUUCUCAUUCUUGUUCAGGAACAAGUGGAUAAUACUGUCCUGUGUUAUUUAUGUAGGCCAGAAGAACACAUGAUGUUUGAAGUAAAUGGGUUUUUGUUUACCCCUUUCAGUGCUCCAUAGUUCUGCAGGAGGAGAUGCAUAUGUCAUGUGUGUUCAAUCCAUUUGCAGCAAACAUGAUGUGCAAUAUAUAUAUGAAUAUAUUGGAUACUUGGAGCAUAUAUACAUGCAUAACUGGAGAAAGAAAUGAGGUUGCCAUGCUCCUUUACAAAGAGGAGAUUGCACCUCAUUCUUCUUCCUACAAGUGGUAGCACAAAUACGUAUGCUGCACACGUACUCGUGUACUGUUGUGCAAGCUACAGUGCUUCUUAGAAAGCCUGGUCAAGCUCUCUGCACGCAUGCACGAGUACGUCGACUCAAAUGGCAUCGAUAUACUGCUGCUGCUACUACUACGUAGUGGACAAGAGAGAAGGGCGGGUGAUGGCCCCACCUCCAACAAGUGUUCUUUCUUUUCUCCUGCAGGCCCCACUUCCCUGCGUCAGUCGGCGUGGCAAGGCUCCGACCGGAAAUCGAGCUCGAUGGACGGCUGUUAUCCUCCCCCCCCCACCAGCUCCCGGUGAUCAACGCUUGACUUGACGCCUUUGUGGUUUGUGCGGGCCCACAAGAGAACCAUGGUCGGCCUCUAUUUUCAUGAUCUUUCCAUCAAGCACUCACACACCUAAAUGUUCUUUUGACUAAGAUGAAGCAGCAAUAUUAUAUACAGGCAGGCAUGCAGGCACGUCGAGGAGACACUUCAAAUGCACUUGAGAUGGCUGUUGAUACAUAUAUAUAUAUAUGCGAAUGUUCUCUCUUCUCAUGCAAACUAGAUCAUAGUGAUGUUAGGAAACUUAGUCACUCAUGUUAUCUGCAAAUUGAAUUUUUCUAUAUUUUGCCUCUCAUAGCAACAUAUAUACACAAUUGCAUCACCAAAUUCUUCCAUGCAUGGAAAUAUAUGACUGUGUUAACUUUCUCUAUCAUAUUAGUGAAGCUACUGUAUACUAUUGGAAAUGAAAUUUUGGUCCUCUCAGUAGCUAACAUCUGAGAUAUACACAUAUAUAUACAUCUGAUACUGGGAGGGGGAUUCCCAGGAUCAGUUCACUGGGUCAUGAUGCCUGUAUAAUUGUAAUCAUCCUUUGACGCAUGUCAUUUAAUAUUGUGAUAUAGUAUAUGAAAUCUUGGUUCUCUGCCAUGUGCUACUGGGAGAAGGAUUCCCAGGAUUGAAUUGACUGUGGAGAACUCAGAAGUGGAUCAACAUCCUCCUCCAUCAAUGGAUUCAAUUCCCUAAAGGUGCAUGUGAAGUUGAAUGCAUAAAAUCUGACAAGAAACCGGGAACGUUGUUUCAGGAAACGAGAUAGUGAGCUAUGAAAGCCCACGGCCACAAGCCGGAAUUCACCGUAUCGCACUUGUCCUCUUCCGUCAGCAAGUCCAGCAGACUGUGCAUGCGCCUGGGUGGCGUCAAAACUUCAGCACGAGAGACUUCUCUGCCUUCCAUAACCUUGGACUCCCUGCUGCUGCUACCUUCUUUAAUUGCCAACGAGAGACUGGUUGUGGAGGAAGAAGGUUCUAAGGAAGGGGUUAACAAUUUCUUGAGCAAAGGGAGUUCUCAACUAUGCAUGCAGGCUAUCAUAGAUGGAAGCUUGAAGACUCUCCAAUCUACAUCUAAUUGAACUUUUGUUAGAUAAAUUUGUCAUAGUUUCUUUUACCUUAUUUAUGAUGCCUCAAUCUUGAAGAUUCCAUUUGGGGUCUUUAGUAUGUUUUUCUUUGCUAUAUAAUAAAUAAUUAAACUAUAUGGUUUCAAUG
Molecule: RNA transcript, 2995 nt
Organism: Musa acuminata AAA Group (dessert banana)
Lineage: Eukaryota; Viridiplantae; Streptophyta; Magnoliopsida; Zingiberales; Musaceae
Gene name: protein VERNALIZATION 3-like
Exons: 3
Source: RefSeq, a predicted model, not a curated record